This 436-nucleotide ribosomal RNA is filed under the name uncultured bacterium. RNAcentral's name for it is "bacterial SSU rRNA". It matches the Rfam family "Bacterial small subunit ribosomal RNA", at positions 343 to 796 of the family's 1533-position model. The record is from RNAcentral.
CGGAGGCAGCAGUGGGGAAUAUUGGUCAAUGGGCGAAAGCCUGAACCAGCAACGCCGCGUGCACGAUGAAGGUCUUCGGAUCGUAAAGUGCCUUUCUGAGAGAUGAGAAAGGACAGUAUCUCAGGAAUAAGUCUCGGCUAACUACGUGCCAGCAGCCGCGGUAAAGCGUAGGAGGCAAGCGUUAUCCGGAUUUACUGGGCGUAAAGCGCGUGCAGGUGGUUCGGUAAGUUGGAUGUGAAAGCUCCUGGCUCAACUGGGAGAGGUCGUUCAAUACUACCGGACUUGAGAGCAGUAGAGGGAUGUGGAAUUCCCGGUGUAGUGGUGAAAUGCGUAGAUAUCAGGAGGAACACCGGCGGUGUAGACGGCUCUCUGGACCGUAACUGACGCUGAGACACGAAAGCGUGGGAGCAAACAGGAUUAGAUACCCCGGUAGUCG